Molecule: ribosomal RNA, 497 nt
Filed under: uncultured bacterium
Lineage: Bacteria
Description: partial 16S ribosomal RNA
Rfam family: Bacterial small subunit ribosomal RNA
Source: RNAcentral
GAUGAACGCUGGCGGCGUGCCUAAUACAUGCAAGUCGAGCGAACGGACGAGAAGCUUGCUUCUCUGAUGUUAGCGGCGGACGGGUGAGUAACACGUGGAUAACCUACCUAUAAGACUGGGAUAACUUCGGGAAACCGGAGCUAAUACCGGAUAAUAUUUUGAACCGCAUGGUUCAAAAGUGAAAGACGGUCUUGCUGUCACUUAUAGAUGGAUCCGCGCUGCAUUAGCUAGUUGGGAAGGUAACGGCUUACCAAGGCAACGAUGCAUAGCCGACCUGAGAGGGUGAUCGGCCACACUGGAACUGAGACACGGUCCAGACUCCUACGGGAGGCAGCAGUAGGGAAUCUUCCGCAAUGGGCGAAAGCCUGACGGAGCAACGCCGCGUGAGUGAUGAAGGUCUUCGGAUCGUAAAACUCUGUUAUUAGGGAAGAACAUAUGUGUAAGUAACUGUGCACAUCUUGACGGUACCUAAUCAGAAAGCCACGGCUAACUACGUG